AAUAUUGCACAAUGGAGGAAACUCUGAUGCAGCGACGCCGCGUGAGCGAUUAAGGCUUUCGAGUCGUAAAGACCUGUCUUAGGGGACGAUAAUGACGGUACCAUGGGCGGAAGCCCCGGCUACGUACGUGCCGGCAGCCGCGGUAAUACGUAGGGGGCGAGCGUUGUCCGGAAUUAUUGGGCGUAAAGGGUUCGCCGGCGGCCUGUUAAGUCAGAUGUGAAAGCCCACGGCUUAACCGUGGUAAGCAUUUGAAACUGGAAGGCUUGAGUUAAGGAGAGGAAAGUGGAAUUCCUAGUGUAGCGGUGAAAUGCGUAGAUAUUAGGAGGAAUACCAGUGGCGAAGGCGACUUUCUGGACUUAUACUGACGCUGAGGAACGAAAGCGUGGGGAGCAAACA
Molecule: ribosomal RNA, 396 nt
Filed under: uncultured bacterium
Lineage: Bacteria
Description: partial 16S ribosomal RNA
Rfam family: Bacterial small subunit ribosomal RNA
Source: RNAcentral